Molecule: ribosomal RNA, 253 nt
Filed under: uncultured bacterium
Lineage: Bacteria
Description: partial 16S ribosomal RNA
Rfam family: Bacterial small subunit ribosomal RNA
Source: RNAcentral
UACGUAGGUGACAAGCGUUGUCCGGAUUUACUGGGCGUAAAGAGCGCGCAGGCGGUCGUUCAAGUCGAGUGUGAAAGCCCCCGGCUCAACUGGGGAGGGUCACUCGAUACUGAUCGACUCGAAGGCAGGAGAGGGAAGUGGAAUUCCCGGUGUAGUGGUGAAAUGCGUAGAUAUCGGGAGGAACACCAGUGGCGAAGGCGGUUGCCUGGGGCUUUGCUGACGCUGAUGCGCGAAAGCGUGGGGAGCGAUCCGG